RNAcentral lists this ribosomal RNA (305 nucleotides) under uncultured bacterium. Its description in RNAcentral is "bacterial SSU rRNA". It matches the Rfam family "Bacterial small subunit ribosomal RNA", at positions 335 to 638 of the family's 1533-position model. The record is from RNAcentral.
UUCCCUACGGGGCGCAGCAGUGAGGAAUAUUGGUCAAUGGUCGGGAGACUGAACCAGCCAAGCCGCGUGAGGGAUGAAGGUACAGAGUAUCGUAAACCUCUUUUGUCAGGGAACAAAGGCGGGGACGUGUCCCCGGAUGAGUGUACCUGAAGAAAAAGCAUCGGCUAACUCCGUGCCAGCAGCCGCGGUAAUACGGAGGAGGCGAGCGUUAUCCGGAUUUAUUGGGUUUAAAGGGUGCGCAGGCGGAAUGUCAAGUCAGCGGUAAAAUUUCGGGGCUCAACCCCGGCGUGCCGUUGAAACUGGCG